GGCGGCGGCGGCAGCAGCAGCAGCGGCAGCUUUCAGUGGCGGCUGCUUGCACCAUGGAGGAGCAGAGGAGGAGGAGCUCUCAGCUGGAUGGAGGAGGAGGAGGAGGAGGAAGAAGAAGGGGGGCACAGGGACUGCCAUGGAGAGGUAUGGAGACUUUGCUACCCGCUGGGGCUCUGUAGCCAGGCCCCCAGCCCAGCCUCUGUGACAGUCCGGGAUUUUUCCUCUGUUCCUUCAUGCGAUGAGUCCGUGGCUGCUUCUGUGAUGUACUCUCCAGAGUGCAAGGCGGAGGUGACCCCCUCACAUGAUGGCAGCCGCACCUUCAGCUACACCCUGGAGGACCACACCAAGCAAGCCUUCAGCGUCAUGAACCAGCUGCGCCUGAGCCAGCAGCUCUGCGACGUCACCUUGCGGGUCAAGUACAAGGACCUUUCGCCGGCCGACUUCCAGGCCCACAAGGUGGUGUUGGCCUCCUCCAGCCCUGUCUUCAAGGCCAUGUUCACCAUGGGUCUCCGGGAGCAGGGCAUGGAGGUCGUCCCCAUUGAGGGCAUUCACCCCAAAGUCAUGGAGCGCCUCAUUGAGUUUGCCUACACUGCCUCCAUCUCGGUGGGCGAGCAGUGCGUGCUGCACGUCAUGAAUGGGGCCGUCAUGUACCAGAUCGACAGCGUGGUCCAGGCCUGCUGUGACUUCCUCGUGCAGCAGCUGGACCCCAGCAACGCCAUCGGCAUCGCCAACUUUGCCGAGCAGAUCAGCUGCACAGAGCUGCACCAGCGGGCGCGCGAGUACAUCUACAUGCACUUCGGGGAGGUGUCGAAGCAGGAGGAGUUCUUCAACCUCUCGCACUGCCAGCUGGUGACGCUGAUCAGCCGGGACGAGCUGAACGUGCGCUGCGAGUCCGAGGUCUUCCAUGCCUGCAUCAACUGGGUGAAGUACGACUGCGAGAACCGGCGGCUCUACAUCCAGGCCCUGCUCAGGGCUGUGCGCUGCCACUCGCUCACUCCGCGCUUCCUGCAGAUGCAGCUGCAGAAGUGUGAGAUCCUCCAGUCGGACUCUCGCUGCAAGGACUACCUGGCCAAGAUCUUCCAGGACCUGACCCUGCACAAGCCAACAAAGGACGUGUCCUGCCGCACACCCAAAGUGGGGCAGCUCAUCUACACGGCGGGUGGCUACUACCGCCACUCGCUCAGCUACCUGGAAGCCUACAACCCUUCUGACGGCUCCUGGAUCCGGCUGGCAGACCUGCAGGUGCCCCGCAGCGGCCUGGCCAGCUGCGUGGUGAGCGGCCUUUUCUAUGCUGUGGGUGGGAGGAACAACUCCUCCGACGGCAACAUGGACUCUGACGCCAUUGACUGCUAUAAUCCCAUGACCAACCGGUGGUCUCCCUGCACUCCUAUGAGCGUCCCCCGUAACCGGAUUGGUGUGGGUGUGAUUGACGGCAUGAUCUACGCAGUGGGCGGCUCUUUUGGGAGUACCCAUCAUAACAGUGUGGAGAGGUAUGAGCCGGAGUGUGAUGAAUGGCAGCUUGUGGCACCCAUGCUCACCCGGCGGAUCGGGGUUGGCGUCGCUGUGCUGAACCGGCUCCUGUACGCUGUGGGGGGCUACGAUGGCACCUGCCGCCACAGCUCCGUGGAGUGCUACCACCCCGAGCGGAACGAGUGGGAGAUGAUUGCCCCGAUGAGGACUGUCCGGAGUGGAGCUGGGGUCUGUGCCCUGAAUAACUGCAUCUAUGCCAUGGGGGGCUACGAUGGCACCAACCAGCUCAACAGCAUGGAGCGCUACGAUGUCGAGACAGGCACCUGGUCCUUUGUGGCACCUAUGAAGCACCGGCGGAGUGCCCUGGGGGUCACCGUGCACCAGGGCAAGAUCUACGUACUGGGUGGCUAUGAUGGCGACACUUUCCUGGACAGUGUUGAGUGUUAUGACCCCGCCACUGAUACAUGGACAGAGGUUACCCACAUGACAUCCGGCCGCAGUGGCGUGGGGGUGGCCAUCACCAUGGAGCCAUGCUGCAAACAGGCCAAUAAGCAGAAGUGCCACUGUUGAAGGCAGGAGGGGGGCUGAGUGUCGCUGGAGGAAGGACCACCCAUUGGAGAGGUUUGAGUAUUAAGGCCUGCCUGCUGCCAAGACCUGUUCUGCCACAAUCAAGGCGAAGUGCCAACACUGGGUAGAAUUUCCCUGCCCCACUUGCCCUUCCGUAAUGAGGGUGAAGAACCGCUUGUAGACUCGGCUUUGCCGGGCUAGCUGCAGCUGAUUUGUUCUUGCCUCUCCACAUGAACCCUGCCUUGCUCUUGGCUCAGGUCAAGCAGGAAGAACUGUGUCUACAGAAACUGAAGGAACACAUUUGAUGUUUGCUGAAAACUAAUACUUCUUGAAAGGCUCUUCAAGAAUAGUUUAAUUAUGGAGUCUCCGAUGCACGAAUGGGAAGGAGUAUUUUGUACAUAGACUGUUCCUGCUCCUUUCAAAUGGGUUUUGUACAGAUAUUUUGACAACACACGCAACUCAGAAUUUAUCCAAACUUCUUUCUUCUUCUCCCUGUUCUUACUGAUACAUUCAUGGGAAACUUGUCAAGGUGUAAAUGGAGAAAGCAGGGAUGGGGAAGUUGUCUUUGGGCUGCUGCUCUGUGACUGAUGAGUUGCAGGGAACCCCACCCCCGAUUGCCUGCAGAUAAAGGAUACUUCCUUUGAUCACCUCUGGUUCACAGGAGUAGUCCCAGUCAAUGUGGCAGAUCGCGUAAUAAAGAUGCACAAGAUACCUGCAAGGCAUAAUGGAACCGAUGAAGUUGCCUCCUCAGAUGGCCAGUGGUGCUCCAAGAUCUUCACUGAGAUUCCAGCACCAGCAUCUCGGGGUUUUGGCAUGCAGUGUCCACUGCAGGCCCUACAGCCCCUCCUGGUGAUCCUCAGGCCAUAGUGUGCCGAAGACUUUUAUGCUGUUCCUCCACACCCACCCCAGCCCCUCUCUGCAUGAUCACACAUAGCUAAAAUUGACAUUUGUACAGCACUUUCAAAGGUUCAAGGUGUUUAACCCGAAUUAUUUUGUUACGUUUCUUCAAAGCGGGUUGGGCACCUUGUAGCUUUCCAAAUGCUGCACCCUACAAUUCGCAUCAGCCCAAACCAGCAUAGUCAAUGGGAAGGAUCACAAGAAUUGUGCCUCUCCAAUGUUUAAGCCUACAGGCUGCUUUCCUUUGCCUGAAAACAGCUUUACAGAGUAGUCCCGCAGCCUAGCGUCUUCCAGAUUGGUUGGCAUUUAAUUCCCAGUGGACAUGCUGGCUGGGAAUACCAGUAGUUGCAGCCCAAAUCAUUUGGAGGGCAUCAGGUUGGGAGAAAUGAAUGUGCAAGAGAAGGUGGUACAACUGCCCCUAUUGCAGAUGGGGAGGAGGGCUUCUCUGAGGCCAUGCAACCCAUUUGCGGCAAGUGAAUGUGAACUGGGCACUGCCCAGUUUGUACCUCAAUCUCUCAGCCUCUGUGCUACGUGAAAUGAUACAAGAAAAGUGGUAGCAGAAAGCUCCCUACUCCUAUAGUAAGCGCACCACCUGUGCCUUCAGUUAACUGUCCUGUUCAAAGACACUGCUAAGCAGGGAGCAUAUGGGUGUCAGUUCUUCGCACCACGGUGACCAAAUAACAUAAAUGGAACACACGUAUCACACAUUCAGAAAGGCUCCACUGGCCAUUCAUUAAAGGUGGACAUCUUUAUGUUUGAACUGAGAAGCCAAGAGGCUUAGGGCAGGUAGCUAAUAGGACAGCCAAAGCCAAGUUCUGAGUUGGGAUGAAGCCCCUUAAUUUUUUGGCACAAGGUACCCUGAUUUUAAGCAAAGGUAUUUUCAUUGUGGUCAGGCAGAGGGCACAACAGGACAGAAGACCCUGACACAGUUUCCCAGUAGCGUAAACCAUUGUUCAGCUGGACUGGCUGCCCGAUGCACUAACCAGCUAGACCUGGAAUAUGGCAACAAUCCAGCAGCUCUCAACAGAACACUGUCCCCUCACUAUACAAGCAAAGGAAUCCUGUAAUGAAACAAGCUUGUACCUUAAGUCAUGAAUGUCAUUCAUUACCCUGUGGAACAAUGGACAGUGAGGCAAAGGCCCUUGUUGCUGGCUUGCGUGGCAGAGACCUCAAAUAGCUCCGUGUCUACUAAGGAUACCCCGUGCAAAAGCCUAACUUAUCAUCUCCACCCGUUCCCCAUGAGUUGACCUGGAAAUAAAAGAAGCAGGAGGAGGCCUUUACUCACUUAGCUGCCAUGCAUGUUUCAGCUGCUUCAGCCAUGCUCUUCUCCUGCUUGAUUUCUUCUCUCAGUGCCUCCAGCUCUUUCCUUAAUUCAGUACAUCUUAAAAGUGAAGGAAUUUUCUUUCCAAAUGCUUUCCAAAAACACGGGUUAGCAACAUUCAAUCCUCCAGAUAUUUUGGUGUACAACUCCUGUGAUUCCUUACCAGUGGCUAUGCUGGUUAAAGCUGGUGGGAUUUGUAGCUGUUAAGGUGCUUUGGCCUACAAAUCACCCAAAUCUACCUGAAACCGACAGCUGCUAAUUAUUUUAGCAGGGCGAUAGCUCAUUGUGGACAAAAGCAGUAACAUUCCCUUCUACAAUCCCAGCCCAAUUUUUAUCUGAAGUAGUAUCUGAGGUAACUGGAGAAUUUUCCAGCGAGGGCUAUCUGAAACACCUUCUGAUCCCCUUGUAAGAGUAGACCAGAAAUGGAGCCACAUGCAGUGAAAUGAAAGAUCCUUACUUCACAGCAUGGGCAGCUGAGCUAGGGAAAAACUUCAGUGGAGAGUUCUGGCUAGGAAAGGCCAGAAUUAGGUUGAGCUGUAGCCUCUCCAGCAGCAGAAGUGAGCUGACAGAGUGUCAAGCCUCUCUGGCAAAGAAUCUCCUGACUCGCUUGUUCAUGCAAGGGUAAAUGCUGGUGUAGAUAAGGAGCCACUUCAUAUAGAACAGGGCCACAGUGUAAAUAGUGUUUCACCAGGCCCAGAAUGGUCAUCUAAGCUCAAGUUCUCGAGAUCUUUCCCAGUUCUGCUACCCAAGAACUUGCAGCGGGAGGUACAAUGGACUGAACAGGGAACAGUCAGCAUUCCAAGUACAUGCUGUCCUGGUGAGCUCUGGCAAAUCACAGAGCUUACCAGAUGCACAACUUUUAGCCCUCCAGAUGUUUUGGCCUACAAUUCCCAUAAUGCCUUACUAUUGACUGUGCUGACUAGGGCUGAGAGCCAUAGGCUAAAACUUUUGGAGGACUGGACACCCUGCCAUCAAGGAAGCAGAGGGAAAGGAAGCAAGAGGCAUGGUCUGGUCAGUAUUACCCUUGCUUAAUGAGACUCACUGUUCUGAGAAGAGUGACUUUCUGUGAAUAACUCAUGAUAAACUACCCAGAGUAUGCAGCUGGAAUGCACCCUGCAGGUCUUUAUUUACAGAGGGGAAAAAACCUUGCUUAACCGGGGCAGGAAAGUUCAUUUAGAACAAUAACAACUAAGGUUACCAAGCAGUCACCAACUUCUGCGGGGGUUUUUGGUCUAAAAGGUGAGUCAUGUUUGGAAGGACAAAACAUCUAUGAUUCAGCCCCAGAGGCUGAUGUGGAAGGAUAUCUGGUGCUGGUCCUCUGUUUGUCAUCCUUCUCACUUGCCUGCAGCAAUUCAUCUUCUAUUUUCUGCAACUUUUGGAGGCUUGCGUUCAGCUCUUCUUCCUGGUCAGCCAGCUUCUGGGCCACUUUUACCUCAGCAGUCAUAAGCUCUGCAAUGACGAAAAAGGAGCCUCCAAUUAAAAUGUAGCUGGCAGGCACGCUUGCUCUGCUAGCAGUGACACCAGCUCCUUGUUUUCACGCACCAGAGCAAUCUGCAUGACUCCACAAAUCACCUCAGCAAUCCACACUUCAUUGGAUGUGCUGUUCAUGCACUUUAAAGCCUGGAAGCAAGAGUAGGCAACCUGGUACCCCCCAGACACUUUGGACCAGAACUCCCAUCAUCUCACAGGACUGGAUGUGCUGGCUGAGGCCGAUGAGAAUUAUCCUUUGAGAUAGCCAGAUGGUGCCAGAUUGUUUGUUCCUGCCAUAAACAGCCUUGGGUCAAGUUGCCUUAAACGGCUACCUGUUCCCAUAUGAGCCUCCCCAGCCACAUUACACCUUCUGCAGGGGCCCUGUUCCGCAUGCCCUUGCCAUCUAAAAACAAGGAACAGGGACACAGGACAGAGCCUUCUUUGUAGUGGUGUCCAAGUUGUGAAAGUCUCCCUAAUGUCCAAUGCACUUCUUCACUGCUGGCCCUUAGACUGCAGCCUAAGGCAGCCCUAUCACCAGCAAAACUUUGGGAUGGCCGGAUUCUUUUCUGAUAAGUGUUUGUGGAUUUUGCUUUGCUAAUGUUUCUGCUCUUGAGAAUGUUUUUGCUUGAAAUUUUACCUUUGUAUUGUUCUUGAUACCUAUACACCCCCAUAAAGGUUUUUAACUGAA
Varanus komodoensis (Komodo dragon) is the source of this 6413-nucleotide RNA transcript. It is a transcript of the gene named kelch like ECH associated protein 1, with no coding region annotated. The transcript has 7 exons. NCBI's taxonomy places the organism in Eukaryota, Metazoa, Chordata, Lepidosauria, Squamata, Varanidae. The record is from RefSeq and is a predicted model, not a curated record.